CGAAUCAAAAAAGAGAAAUUACAGUUAAAUGUUUUCUUUGGAUAAUUGUUGCGCAACUACAGCAAAAGCAACCGUUAUUACGGAAUUAGAUCUCUAGCUUAUAAAUCACGCCUAAUAACACCUUCUGUUGCAAUGGCGGAAAACGGGGUCUACUGUUCGACUUGGCCAAUUUCGUUUAACCAUUGUAAUUUGCCGUUUAAUCUCGGUGAAACCGUAUUAAAGAUCGAACCAAGUCUCAUGGUUUGCAAUUUGUGGCGAUAACGUCGACAAAUUAUGGUUACCGAAAGCCGUUCGAUUCCACAUCGAAGAAAGUAGAACUUUUUUGAUUUCUUCUAUCAGCUCAAGGUCAUUAUUUGUAAAUAAAGGUCAUCAUUUUUUUUUAGUUUCAAAAUCGACCGUAUCAUCUUAGUAAUCAAAUCCGUUUUGUUGUUCGAAUAUUACGGGAAAGUGACUAAGCAGAUGAAGAAGCGAGGCUGUAUGUUGCAGCCGCCGCGCCGAGAACAAAGUCUUCAAUAGUUGUCGGCCACUUUUAUGUUCGCGCUCGUUUCGAACGAGAAAGGAAAACACGAUGUGGAAAUAAGCGCGGUGUGAUAAAUGAAGUUAGAACGCAUUGUAAAUCUAUACAUACAUACAUACAUUCGAUGGGAGAAAAGAAAAAUAUUAACGUGUUUAAAGCUGGAUAAAUUAUUUUUUGAGUUAAAAAUCGCGGAUAAUCCACCAACAUAUGGCAUCCACAUACAUUGUCGAUUGGCACAAUUGGAUUCGCCUCGAUCUCGCAUCAUUACCUUUUUGUUCCGCGAUAACUGUAUUCCACCAUCUGCUGUUAAAACCCAUUAAAUGUCACAAAUAAAUUAUUGACGCACACCAUCUAAGAUAAAUUUUUAUAAUAAUACUCUAUGCAAUCCCCACCACCACCACUCAGUUUAAUCCAUAUUUCUUUUUAAUAAAUUAAUAAAAUUUAUAAUCAUUUAUUAAAUAAAAAGAUAAUAAUAAUUUCUUUUCAAAACACAAGUUUACAUUGACAUUUUCAACCUGAUUUAAAAAUGCUACCACAUGUUCGAGAACUGGUGGUAAAAUGUCACAUUAUUUAUUUAUAAAUGCGAGCCGCGAACUUUACUUACAAACAAUAUAAUCAUAAAAAAAGUUGUUCUUACGACCUGUUAAUUACUAAAUAGUACCUUGAACGGUAGCGUUCCAUUAUCUCAUAAAUUCAGUUUAAAUUUUUGAAUUUCCCGCUAAUAUUAAUUGGCUACAUUCAUUGUAUUCGUUAAUACGUCAAUCGUAUCGAAAUGUCAAAACACCGCAACUCCGCAACAAAUCGAGGUAAAUACCGUAUUUCCAAUAAUUUUACCCGUCUUUGAAGAGAGAAUGUUAAAAUCUUGUACUAGCAGCUGUUGGGGCAAAGAUUAUACCUUUCCCAGACGUCUGUCACCUGUUUCUGUUGUUUAUAUAACUGCACGGAUUAAUGAGAAGAUAAUUGAAGAGUUGUUUACUGCACUGGAAGAUUGUUAAGUGUUUAAGUGAAUGUUGUUGGGAGCAAGGAGAAUCGUGUAGAACAGCGUGAAGUCUUCGUCGUCGUCGAGAGGCGAAAAGCUCCUCUCGCCUAGUUACAAGAAAGAAAAAGAAGAAGAAACCGCGCGUUCGGAGAUGUAAACACAAUGGGUACUUACUAAAACACGAUCGUCGUAAAUUUACAAGAGCAAAGCGGUGGUUGUGGAUUCAAACGGAUAUUUUUCCGAGAAACGUUUUAAAAUUUUGGGUUAACCAACAAAAAAGAGGGAAAAUUUAAUUGUUUAAGCAUGACCUUUACCUGUAACCUUUUUCAAAUUGGUUAUCUCCUCCCAAAGAGACAAGUGCCAAUCCUAAUCCUUCAGGUAGAUGUCCUUAAAUCUUUAAAGCAUCUAAGAAAUUUCGAAACGAUUGUUACCAGGUAAAAAAAUGAGUAUUAAAAUUCUUUUGCUUUUA
This 1965-nucleotide long non-coding RNA is filed under the name Onthophagus taurus. RNAcentral describes it as "uncharacterized LOC111426433, transcript variant X2". The record is from RNAcentral. Lineage: Eukaryota; Metazoa; Arthropoda; Insecta; Coleoptera; Scarabaeidae.